Mastomys coucha (southern multimammate mouse) is the source of this 583-nucleotide long non-coding RNA. RefSeq lists it as uncharacterized. The record is from RefSeq and is a predicted model, not a curated record. The transcript is spliced from 2 exons. Lineage: Eukaryota; Metazoa; Chordata; Mammalia; Rodentia; Muridae.
CAGGAGGAGAAAGCCAGGAGUUCAGUAUGGCCUCUCCUUCCAAGGCUCAUAGGUUGAAGGCUAGAGCCCAGCCAGUGGUGUUACAGAGAGGUGGUCAGAUCACGAUAGUACUAACUUCAUUGCUAGGUUAAUCUAUUGAUGAGUUCAUAAUAGAUGAGUGACUAGGAAGUGGGGCUUGUUGGAGGAAGUAGAGGAAGUGUCUUAUUCCCAGAAUCUUCUCGUUCUCUCCUUCGCUUCCUAGCUACCAAGAGGAUGAAGACCCUGGAAGGAAGAGUCUCCCUGGAGGCCUGGAAAGAACCAACUGAUGGAGUUACUGCAAGAUACCCAGGACCUGUAUGUUAACUUCCUAGCUCCAGGUCACGAUGUCUGCCGCCUGUCACCCAUACCCACUAAUAAGUGCCUUCUGCCUCCUGUCCCCUCUCAUUCUUGCCCGGGGCCCCUCCCCAACAAGCUUUUCAGGAACCAUCUUAUACCAAUAUCCCAAGCAAGGAUUCCUAUAACAGGGAAGUGGUAACAGGAUGGGGUGGCUUCAUGUUUCCCUCAGGGUGCCCUGGGGUGAGCCACUGCCAUAGUAAACUAUAAA